AAUUUGCAAUCUUCAUUCUCUAAUAUUGGUACUAGCUUUGAUGAGUCUUCAGUUGAGGGAGAUCUUCAACAACCUUCAGCUAUGAGUCAUCUAGAGCACAUCUAAUCUGAGCAACAAGGAAAUAAGGAAGCAUGAAGAAUGUUUUAAAUUUGACAAGGAACCUUUCAGGCUUGGGAGUGUAAGAGAAGGCAAUAACCAACCCCAGCUAUAAGACGUAAUUUGUUGUACAAUGCCUAUGAUCACUACCAAAUCUUUAGACUUAUAGUUGCAGAAAAGUCAGUGACCGCUACAAAAGGAUAUGGUUACACUACCCAUAGUCACACUAUGUUGCUGUCUAUCUAUUAUGACACUACAUGUUAUGGUCAUGGUUUUCACUAACUUUAGUCAUGGCCAACAACUGCAACUAUAGACCCUUCUCCUUGUAGUGUAGCUAAUGGUUGAAAUAAUCACUAAAUACUUUUGGAAAGUCAAGUGCUCUCUAUUCCUAAUUUUAAUGGCAUAGAAACACUAAUCUCUUACCCCAUCAAUUUAGUGAUUGAUUGGUUAUCUGUUUUGUCCUAGAUUUUGUAAUUUGUUUGUUAAUAUUUUUAGAUGCUCAUUACAACUUAAUAGUGUUUCAUUUAAUCGAAUGCAUGGGAAAUGUUGGUUGGACCAACAAAAGCUCUUUUAAUGGAUGAAAUAUCUACAGGGUUGGAUAGUUA
Long non-coding RNA from Vitis vinifera (wine grape), 701 nucleotides. RefSeq lists it as uncharacterized. The transcript has 3 exons. The record is from RefSeq and is a predicted model, not a curated record. Lineage: Eukaryota; Viridiplantae; Streptophyta; Magnoliopsida; Vitales; Vitaceae.